This 663-nucleotide ribosomal RNA is filed under the name uncultured beta proteobacterium. RNAcentral's name for it is "bacterial SSU rRNA". It matches the Rfam family "Bacterial small subunit ribosomal RNA", at positions 67 to 719 of the family's 1533-position model. The record is from RNAcentral. Lineage: Bacteria; Pseudomonadati; Pseudomonadota; Betaproteobacteria.
CGUGGGGAGGAGCUUGCUCCACCCUGACGACGAGUGGCGAACGGGUGAGUAAUACAUCGGAACGUGUCCGCUCGUGGGGGACAACCAGCCGAAAGGUUGGCUAAUACCGCAUGAGUUCUACGGAAGAAAGAGGGGGGCCCGCAAGGGCCUCUCGCGAGCGGAGCGGCCGAUGACUGAUUAGCCAGUUGGUGAGGUAACGGCUCACCAAAGCAACGAUCAGUAGCUGGUCUGAGAGGACGACCAGCCACACUGGGACUGAGACACGGCCCAGACUCCUACGGGAGGCAGCAGUGGGGAAUUUUGGACAAUGGGCGCAAGCCUGAUCCAGCUAUUCCGCGUGUGGGAUGAAGGCCCUCGGGUUGUAAACCACUUUUGUAGAGAACGAAAAGACACCAUCGAAUAAAUGGUGUUGCUGACGGUACUCUAAGAAUAAGCACCGGCUAACUACGUGCCAGCAGCCGCGGUAAUACGUAGGGUGCGAGCGUUAAUCGGAAUUACUGGGCGUAAAGGGUGCGCAGGCGGUCGAGUAAGACAGAUGUGAAAUCCCCGAGCUUAACUCGGGAAUGGCAUAUGUGACUGCUCGACUAGAGUGUGUCAGAGGGAGGUGGAAUUCUACGUGUAGCAGUGAAAUGCGUAGAUAUGUGGAAGAACACCGAUGGCGAA